Molecule: small RNA, 745 nt
Filed under: Histoplasma ohiense
Lineage: Eukaryota; Fungi; Ascomycota; Eurotiomycetes; Onygenales; Ajellomycetaceae
Description: hypothetical lncRNA
Source: RNAcentral
ACCAUCCGGGCAAUUUAUUUUUACAAUGGACCCCUUCACUCCCAAAGGCAUGAUGCUUGCUCCUUAUGUUUGUGGUGUUCGGUGAUCCACCCUCUUCAUGUGAUAACUAAUCGAAAUCGAUUAGCCGGCUAUGGCCAGGGGCUCUGGGAAUGAUAUGUUUGACAGGUACCAGGUUAUCCAUUUGAACGAGCACCGGGUCCGGAAGCAAACGCACGAGGGUUGCCAAGAAAGCGACAGCAUGCUAUAUCACUGCCAACACAAAUAUACCUGUGCCGAAAGUCAAUGACACAAAAUCGGAUGCGGAGGACAUUGUGAUGGAAUAUGUACUAGGCCGAUCACUAGAAGAUGCAUGGAUGAAGCUUUCUCCGGACCAGAGUGUCUCCACCUGCCACCAACUUGCCCAAUAUCUCUCUUAGCUUCAACAUCUGACAGAAUAACAAAUCAAGGGAGUGAAUGAUACUCCUGCAUGAAUCUGUGGUUAUCAUUCACGCUGGGGUGGACCCUUGGAGACAGAAAAUGAGCUCAACAAUUUUCUGGCUCAUAACGCUUAGGGUACCCAAGGCCCUCAUCUACCCCCAAAUGACAAUCACAUAAUCCAUUUUGCUCACGGCGACCUAAGUCCCCGGAAUAUUCUGGUCGAUGAGAGCGGCCGUAUCACCGCAAUCAUCGACUGGGACAUUCUCCGGAUGCGCAUGGACUUCCCAAGGAAGAGGAAGAUGCCGGAUCAUCCAAGGUACUUCCAGUC